This 400-nucleotide ribosomal RNA is filed under the name uncultured bacterium. RNAcentral's name for it is "bacterial SSU rRNA". It matches the Rfam family "Bacterial small subunit ribosomal RNA", at positions 355 to 749 of the family's 1533-position model. The record is from RNAcentral.
UCGAGAAUUUUUCUCAAUGGGGGAAACCCUGAAGGAGCGACGCCGCGUGGAGGAUGAAGGUCUUCGGAUUGUAAACUCCUGUCAUUUGGGAACAAAACUUCGGUUUAACUGACUGAAGCUUGAUAGUACUAGAAGAGGAAGAGACGGCUAACUCUGUGCCAGCAGCCGCGGUAAUACAGAGGUCUCAACCGUUGUUCGGAUUCAUUGGGCGUAAAGGGUGCGUAGGCGGUCGUGUAAGUCGGAUGUGAAAUCCCGGGGCUCAACCCCGGAACUGCAUUCGAUACUGCAUGGCUAGGGUACUGGAGAGGAGACUGGAAUUUACGGUGUAGCAGUGAAAUGCGUAGAUAUCGUAAGGAAGACCAGUGGCGAAGGCGAGUCUCUGGACAGUUACCGACGCUGA